Molecule: ribosomal RNA, 405 nt
Filed under: uncultured bacterium
Lineage: Bacteria
Description: partial 16S ribosomal RNA
Rfam family: Bacterial small subunit ribosomal RNA
Source: RNAcentral
GAUGAACGCUGGCUGCGUGCCUAAUACAUGCAAGUCGAGCGAAGCGGGGACGGGGGAGUAACACGGGGAUAACCUCCUAUAAGACUGGGAUAACUUCGGGAAACCGGAGCUAAAACGGAUACUCAUAGAUGGCUCCGCGCUGCAUUAGCUAGUUGGUAAGGUAACGGCUUACCAAGGCAACGAUGCAUAGCCGACCUUAGAGGGUGAUCGCGCACACUGGCCCUUUGACACGGUCCAGACGCCUUCGCGUGGCAGCAGUAGGGAAUCUUCCGCAAUUGGCGAAAGCCUGACAGAGCAACGCCGCGUGAGUGAUGAAGGUCUUCGGAUCGUAAAACUCUGUUAUUAGGGAAGCGGUACCUAAUCAGAAAGCCACGGCUAACUACGUGCCAGCAGCCGCGGUAAUAC